ACCUGAGAUAGCUUAAAGUAGAGCGCAACGUUGAAGCUGUUGAAGUAGUUUUGAACUUCCGGGUG
RNAcentral lists this transfer RNA (65 nucleotides) under Zygeupolia rubens. RNAcentral describes it as "tRNA-Phe". The record is from RNAcentral. Lineage: Eukaryota; Metazoa; Nemertea; Pilidiophora; Heteronemertea; Lineidae.